This is a transfer RNA of Chamaesiphon minutus PCC 6605, 80 nucleotides long. It matches the Rfam family "tRNA". Rfam says of the family: Transfer RNA (tRNA) molecules are approximately 80 nucleotides in length. The record is from Rfam. Lineage: Bacteria; Bacillati; Cyanobacteriota; Cyanophyceae; Gomontiellales; Chamaesiphonaceae.
GGGCGGCUGGCGGAAUUGGUAGACGCAGUUGACUCAAAAUCAUCCGCGAAAGCGUGUCGGUUCGAGUCCGACGCUGCCCA